RNAcentral lists this ribosomal RNA (468 nucleotides) under uncultured bacterium. Its description in RNAcentral is "partial 16S ribosomal RNA". It matches the Rfam family "Bacterial small subunit ribosomal RNA", at positions 28 to 507 of the family's 1533-position model. The record is from RNAcentral.
GACGAACGCUGGCGGCGUGCUUAACACAUGCAAGUCGAACGGAAAGGCCCUGCUUUUGUGGGGUGCUCGAGUGGCGAACGGGUGAGUAACACGUGAGUAACCUGCCCUUGACUUUGGGAUAACUUCAGGAAACUGGGGCUAAUACCGGAUAGGAGCUCCUGCUGCAUGGUGGGGGUUGGAAAGUUUCGGCGGUUGGGGAUGGACUCGCGGCUUAUCAGCUUGUUGGUGGGGUAGUGGCUUACCAAGGCUUUGACGGGUAGCCGGCCUGAGAGGGUGACCGGCCACAGGGGGACUGAGAUACGGCCCAGACUCCUACGGGAGGCAGCAGUGGGGAAUAUUGCACAAUGGGCGGAAGCCUGAUGCAGCAACGCCGCGUGCGGGAUGACGGCCUUCGGGUUGUAAACCGCUUUCGCCUGUGACGAAGCGUGAGUGACGGUAAUGGGUAAAGAAGCACCGGCUAACUACGUG